Molecule: ribosomal RNA, 301 nt
Filed under: uncultured bacterium
Lineage: Bacteria
Description: partial 16S ribosomal RNA
Rfam family: Bacterial small subunit ribosomal RNA
Source: RNAcentral
CAGCCGCCGCGGUAAUACGGAGGGUGCAAGCGUUAAUCGGAAUUACUGGGCGUAAAGCGCACGCAGGCGGUUUGUUAAGUCAGAUGUGAAAUCCCCGGGCUCAACCUGGGACCUGCAUUUGUGACUGUAUAGCUAGAGUACGGUAGAGGGGGAUGGAAUUCCGCGUGUAGCAGUGAAAUGCGUAGAUAUGCGGAGGAACACCGAUGGCGAAGGCAAUCCCCUGGACCUGUACUGACGCUCAUGCACGAAAGCGUGGGGAGCAAACAGGAUUAGAUACCCCAGUAGUCCCUGUCUCUUAUAC